AAGUUUCAACAACGGAUCUCUUGGCUCUCGCACCGAGGAAGAACGCAGCGAAAUGCGAUAAGUAAUGUGAAUUGCAGAAUUCAGUGAAUCAUUGAAUCUUGAACGCACCUUGCGCUCCUUGGUAUUCCUUGGAGCAUGCCUGUUUGAGUAAUCAU
This 155-nucleotide ribosomal RNA is filed under the name Thanatephorus cucumeris. RNAcentral describes it as "5.8S ribosomal RNA". It matches the Rfam family "5.8S ribosomal RNA". From Rfam's summary of the family: 5.8S ribosomal RNA (5.8S rRNA) is a component of the large subunit of the eukaryotic ribosome. It is transcribed by RNA polymerase I as part of the 45S precursor that also contains 18S and 28S rRNA. The record is from RNAcentral. Lineage: Eukaryota; Fungi; Basidiomycota; Agaricomycetes; Cantharellales; Ceratobasidiaceae.